GGGAAGGUGGUUCAGUGGCAGGGCACUUGCCUUGCAAGCAUGAGACCCUGGGUUCCAUUCCUCAGCCACCACA
This is a non-coding RNA of Dipodomys ordii (Ord's kangaroo rat), 73 nucleotides long. Lineage: Eukaryota; Metazoa; Chordata; Mammalia; Rodentia; Heteromyidae. The record is from Rfam.